Molecule: ribosomal RNA, 254 nt
Filed under: uncultured bacterium
Lineage: Bacteria
Description: partial 16S ribosomal RNA
Rfam family: Bacterial small subunit ribosomal RNA
Source: RNAcentral
UACGGGGGGAGCAAGCGUUGUUCGGAUUUACUGGGCGUAAAGGGCGCGUAGGCGGCCACUGCAAGUCAGUUGUGAAAUCUCCGGGCUUAACUCGGAAAGGUCAACUGAUACUGCAGGGCUAGAGUGCAGAAGGGGCAACUGGAAUUCUCGGUGUAGCGGUGAAAUGCGUAGAUAUCGAGAGGAACACCUGCGGCGAAGGCGGCUACCUGGACAGAAACUGACGCUGAGGCGCGAAAGCUAGGGGAGCGAACGGG